Molecule: transfer RNA, 84 nt
Filed under: Oryzias latipes (Japanese medaka)
Lineage: Eukaryota; Metazoa; Chordata; Actinopteri; Beloniformes; Adrianichthyidae
Description: tRNA-Leu (CAA) (tRNA-Leu-CAA-34-1)
Rfam family: tRNA
About the family: Transfer RNA (tRNA) molecules are approximately 80 nucleotides in length.
Source: Rfam by way of RNAcentral
ACCAGGAUGGCCUGAUUGGUUAAGGCGUUGGACUCAAGAUCCAAUGAGCGUAUGCUCACGUGGGUUCCAAUCCUACUCCUGGUA